CGGUUAUAGUUUGUUACUUCUACUAAAAAGAAGAAUUUAAAGAGGUUUAGAUCCAUAAAUCUAGAAUCACGACUUACCAAAUCACAGAGCAAAGGGGAUUAGGGUUAUCGGCGACUGAAGCUCGACAACGGAGGUUUUUGAUGAAAAUAGGAUGGCGCGGAGACUGAGAUACGGAGAAAAAACGCAGCAGACGGUGGCUGAGCGCGGCGGAGCUCCGGUGGCGAGUGGAGUAAACUAUGGUCGGCGCUUCAAGCUUGCUCUGAAAGUUUUGAACAGUAAACUAUGGUCGGCGCUUCAAGCUUGCUCUGAAAGCUUGGAAGUUG
RNAcentral lists this long non-coding RNA (323 nucleotides) under Salvia miltiorrhiza (redroot sage). Its description in RNAcentral is "long non-coding RNA (SMIL_LNC000300)". The record is from RNAcentral. Lineage: Eukaryota; Viridiplantae; Streptophyta; Magnoliopsida; Lamiales; Lamiaceae.